UACGUAGGGUGCAAGCGUUGUCCGGAAUUAUUGGGCGUAAAGCGUGCGCAGGCGGUUAUGUAAGACAGGUGUGAAAUCCCCGGGCUUAACCUGGGAACUGCAUUUGUGACUGCAUAGCUAGAGUACGGUAGAGGGGGAUGGAAUUCCGCGUGUAGCAGUGAAAUGCGCAGAUAUCGGGAAGAACACCCGUGGCGAAGGCGGCUCUCUGGGACGGUACUGACGCUGAGACGCGAAAGCGUGGGGAGCGAACAGG
RNAcentral lists this ribosomal RNA (253 nucleotides) under uncultured bacterium. Its description in RNAcentral is "partial 16S ribosomal RNA". It matches the Rfam family "Bacterial small subunit ribosomal RNA", at positions 524 to 776 of the family's 1533-position model. The record is from RNAcentral.